This 497-nucleotide ribosomal RNA is filed under the name uncultured bacterium. Its description in RNAcentral is "partial 16S ribosomal RNA". It matches the Rfam family "Bacterial small subunit ribosomal RNA", at positions 28 to 507 of the family's 1533-position model. The record is from RNAcentral.
GAUGAACGCUGGCGGCGUGCCUAAUACAUGCAAGUCGAGCGAACAGACGAGGAGCUUGCUCCUCUGACGUUAGCGGCGGACGGGUGAGUAACACGUGUAUAACCUACCUAUAAGACUGGGAUAACUUCGGGACACCGGAGCUAAUACCGGAUAAUAUCUUGAACCGCAUGGUUCAAUAGUGAAAUACGGUUUUUCUGUCACUUAUAGAUGGAUCCGCGCGGCAUUAGCUAGUUGGUAAGGUAACGGCUUAUGAAGGCUACGAUGCGUAGCCGACCUGAGAGGGUGGUAGGCCACACUGGAGCUGAGACGCGGACCAGACUCCUGCGGGACGCAGCAGUAGGGAAUGGGCCGCAGUAGGGGGGAGCAUGGCGGAGCGACGGCACGUGAGUGAUGAAGGUCUUGGGAGCGUAAUGCUCUCUUAUGAGGGGAGAACAAAUGUGUAAGUAGCUGUGCACGGAUUGACGGUACCUAGUCAGAAAGCAACGGCUAACUACGUG